Molecule: ribosomal RNA, 482 nt
Filed under: uncultured bacterium
Lineage: Bacteria
Description: bacterial SSU rRNA
Rfam family: Bacterial small subunit ribosomal RNA
Source: RNAcentral
ACGCUAUCACUCCCACGGGAGGCAGCAGUGGGGAAUAUUGCACAAUGGGCGCAAGCCUGAUGCAGCCAUGCCGCGUGUGUGAAGAAGGCCUUCGGGUUGUAAAGCACUUUUCAGUCGUGAGGAAGGAAGUGCUAGUUAAUAGCUGCAUUAUUUUGACGUUUAGCGACAGAAGAAGCACCGGCUAACUCCGUGCCAGCAGCCGCGGUAAUACGGAGGGUGCGAGCGUUAAUCGGAAUUACUGGGCGUAAAGCGCAUGCAGGUGGUUUGUUAAGUCAGAUGUGAAAGCCCGGGGCUCAACCUCGGAAUUGCAUUUGAAACUGGCAGACUAGAGUACUAGUAGAGGGGGGGUAGAAAUUUUCAAGGUGUAGGGUGAAAUGCGUAGAGAUCUGAAGGAAUACCGGUGGCGAAGGCGGCCCCCUGGACAGAUACUGACACUCAGAUGCGAAAGCGUGGGGAGCAAACAGGAUUAGAUACCCUGGUAG